Molecule: long non-coding RNA, 771 nt
Filed under: Triticum aestivum (bread wheat)
Lineage: Eukaryota; Viridiplantae; Streptophyta; Magnoliopsida; Poales; Poaceae
Description: long non-coding RNA (TAES_LNC011738)
Source: RNAcentral
CUUGGUCUCUCCGUUCACUCCAAAAUUAUUAACACUAAAUCAGGCCCGGCUUGUACCGCUGGUAAUUCUUAAUCUCCCACCAGUUUGCUCUGUUGAUUUGUGCCUUGAGCCUGCUAGUCCUCUGCUACAGGCAUCCCCGCAGCUCGACUCGCUGGUGCGGCAACAUGGUGACCAUCUUUGACGGCUGGUUUGGCUCGUACGCCUCCUCUGUGUCCUUGGUUUGUAAGCGGCGAUGGAUCAUGGAUGUAUAGCAUGGCCCGAGUAGCAGCUCCAAUGGAGGAGGCGAGAUCGUUGAUCUGCACGGUGUCGUUGCUGUCAGCAUCCUUGUAGGGGAUCCUUCGUCGUGGAUCUCGACUCGCACAGCUAGCGUGGAUUCAGCUUUUGUAUGAGGUAUUUGGUCCAUUGUCUUCCUCAAUCGUGCAAGCCAGACUUCGUCGUUGUUCCCACUCGAGGAAUCCCGACAUCUCGUCGUCUUCCUCCACAGCGGCAACAUGCUUCGACCUACAGGUCUCCUUUUUCCCUUUUCAUGUCUAUAUGACAUAUAUUUUUGCUUAACCUUUUCCUGUGUGUGUACGAUUGUACCAAUAUAAUGUAAUUAAAACACUGCCUGUUAGUGAAAAAUGUUAAUUUUCUUUUGUCCCCUCCACUUUUUCUGUGCUUCCGUUUGCAUCGAUAGUGUUAGAUCCCUUGCCCCCAUUCAUACUCGGCAAAUUUAAGUACUAAUUAGUGUAUCAUUGAGUAGCUAUAGUUUAAUAUUUCCCAAAGACACUG